Molecule: long non-coding RNA, 952 nt
Organism: Eriocheir sinensis (Chinese mitten crab)
Lineage: Eukaryota; Metazoa; Arthropoda; Malacostraca; Decapoda; Varunidae
Exons: 6
Source: RefSeq, a predicted model, not a curated record
CCUCGCCGCCAGUGGGUGCUCGCCGCCGGCCCCAGGUGUUCACUAAUGCAGGAGAGAGAUCGCUGAGACGGUUUGGGUUCGGGAGGCGAGAUUCGUGACGUGCUGGUGACGUGGACAGAAGCCGCGGGGAGCUCCUCGGCUCAGCCUCACGCGAGCGGCAGAUACCUGACUUCCCGGCUGUGAGGAGGAGCUGCUUCUUGCCUGGAAUCUUUUCACGGGAGGCGGUGGCUGAGCGGUGCGUUACAGGGCCUUGAAGUACAUCCCGCCGCUACGAGCAUCGCCGAGUGUGCCGUCCUGGUUAACCUAGCAACUCGGAGUCUGUUCCCCGCCGCUGCGUCAUUUUGUGAGAGGGCACUUGUCAUCGGUUGCCUACGCGUGGGACUUCAGCAAAUGGAAAAGAAAAUACAAGAAAAGGCGUAAAAGGCAGGCAAGGCAAGAACGAGCAUACAGAUUGACACGCACUCAGGCAGAUAUCGACGCUCUGUCAAGAUGAUGGGAACGAGCAAACAGCGAGGAGUGUGUCGUGUCGAUCAGCGUGUCCUGUCGUCUACAGAGAGGAACUCGUCGAGAAGUUGAGGGGUCGACCUUUUCCCCUGUUGACGUGCUGACCAUCAAUCCUGCCUCGGCGCUCUCCUCCCCGCACCAAGGUAUAAAGUGCUCAGUUGCAACCACUUAGCCCACGAGACUCACAAAGCAAGUCGAGAGCUCCUGAUGUGUGACCGGCAGCUGCAUCGUGCCAUGGGUUGGGUCGUCCGCUGUCCCGUGUGGCGUCCAGUGUGUGCUCCCGACACCGCACCUGAAAGAAAUGAGAAGAAUCAAGAUCAGUUCAGCUGCCUCAGUAAUCCAUCAUGUCUCAUAGUGCAGGGAUUAUUAACAUCAUGACUGUAGACUUUGUUUAAAGAUGUUUCGGCGAUGUGUAAAGGUUGCUCAAUUAAAAACCCUGACCCAGACA